GACGAACCGUCCGAACGUUAUUCGGAAUUACUGGGCUUAAAGGGUGCGUAGGCGGUGCUACAAGUCGGGUGUGAAAGCCCUCAGCUUAACUGAGGAACAGCGCCCGAAACUGUAGUGCUGGAGGGAGACAGGGGUGAGCGGAACUGAUGGUGGAGCGGUGAAAUGUGUUGAUAUCAUCAGGAACACCGGUGGCGAAGGCGGCUCACUGGGUCUCUUCUGACGCUGAGGCACGAAAGCUAGGGGAGCAAACGGG
Molecule: ribosomal RNA, 253 nt
Filed under: uncultured bacterium
Lineage: Bacteria
Description: partial 16S ribosomal RNA
Rfam family: Bacterial small subunit ribosomal RNA
Source: RNAcentral